Micropterus dolomieu (smallmouth bass) is the source of this 1987-nucleotide RNA transcript. RefSeq lists it as uncharacterized. The transcript is spliced from 3 exons. NCBI's taxonomy places the organism in Eukaryota, Metazoa, Chordata, Actinopteri, Centrarchiformes, Centrarchidae. The record is from RefSeq and is a predicted model, not a curated record.
CAGCGCUGGUUGCCAUGGCAGAAGAGCUGAUUCAAGACCAGUUGUCGCAGACCAGGAGAGUUGGUGAAAUGGUUUCCAUCAGCUGUGGAGGAACUGACGGGUGUGAUAAAAAACAUGUCUACUGGUACCAGAAGACAAAAACAGGCCCAUUCACAGUGAUUCUACGUAUCGAUCUGACAGAUGGGAAAUUUAAUUCCCGCUACAAUCAUCCUCAGCAAAAAGAUUUCUCUGCGUUGAGAAAAGAGUACGGCUGCGACUUGAUGAUCUCGAGUAUUACACUCCUCCAUUCAGCCACCUACUACUGCAUCUGUUGGAAAAGUGUUGCCCACAGUGAGAAAUGAUCCGUGCAGCCUGAACAAAAACCAGCAGAUGUCAAACAGUGUUUGUGACAGGAAGAGAGCAGUAAACCACAGCCCAGGUUCACAUAUUUCACCUCCAUCUCAGCCAGAGUUGCAAACAUACUGAGCUGAGGGAUUUACUUCUAUUGCUUUUACAGGGGCUGAUGGGAGGUCUGAGGACCCGUUAGAAACCACGCGGCCCUCGUCUGAUCUCACAGCUCGUCCUUGUUUGGCCUCAGCUGCAUCAGAGCGCCACUUCUCCCCAGGUUCACCAGAGGAAACACCACUGCACACAAUGCUUUUCCUCCCAGCUGCUGCUCUGUGCUGUCUGUGUUCAGCGCUGGUUGCCAUGGCAGCAGAGCUGAUUCAGGAGGAUUUAACAUGGACCAGGAGAGUCGAUGAAACUGUUUCCUUCAGCUGUCGAGGAACUGACCAGUGUGACAGAGAUAAUGUGUACUGGUACCAGAUGAAAGACACAGAAACAUUCACAAGGAUUCUGUUUAUUUAUAGGAGAAAAGGUCGAUUUUAUCCAGAUGACAAUCAUCCUCAGAAAGAUGAUUUCUCAGCUUUGAGAAAACAGAACGUCUGUGAGUUGGUGAUCACAAAAAUAAAACUCCUCCAUUUAGCCACCUACUACUGCUCCUGUUGGAAGGAGGUCUCCACAGUGAGAAAUGAUCCCUGCAGCCUGAACAAAAACCAGCAGAUGUCAAAUAGUGUUUGUGACAGGAAGAGAGCAGUAAACCACAGCCCAGGUUCACAUAUUUCACCUCCAAAAGCUAUCCAGCAUAUUUCAUGUCUAUAUAUAAUAUAUAUAUAAUUCAGUUAUAAUUCACCUGUAAUACAUUUCGAUUGGUCUUAUUUAAAUUAUAAUUAUAUUAGUUAUAACAUUACUUGGACAUAAUUCAUGAUUAAACAAUCACAUUUUUCAAUUUGAUGGUAAACACAAACAAUCAUCUCUAUAAUCUCUAUUUAAACUACAAAUGAAGAUUAGAGAAACACAACAUUGAGUUUCCUGGUUCAUAAUUUGGUCUCAACUGAUUCAUUCAGCAGCAGACAGGUUUUUGUAUUAGUGUAUUUCACUGUGGGAGGAUCCAGUGGAUCCAACAGAUACCUGAUCUUUGGCUCUGGAACUGAACUCUACGUAACAGGUAAGAUUAAACAUCCAUUUUCCUUCUGUUGUUUUAUUGUAGAGGCUUUUAAGUUUUCUCAGUCUUCUUAAAACCUUAAAGUAAUGAGAGGCACUCAGCAGUGAUGUUGUAACUCUGCUCUGUGUUCCCAUCAGCUGCUGUUUAGUCAAACCUCACACUGGGUUUCUUGUCUCUCCGCUGGAAGAAAUUAAAAUUCUAGAUGAAUGAUUGUGGUGGAUUUUCUUGCUCUGUUUAUCAGAUGAAAGUAAAUUUAAGAGACGAGCAGGUAUCCUCAAGUUCACUCAGGUUCAGUUGUCCAGAGUUGAUUUUAAUAUUCAAAUUCAAAUGCAGUUAACAAACAUUAGUAUAAUAUCAUUGAAAAUAUGUUUAAUGUUUCUGAAAUGUUAUUUAUUUUUACAGUAAGCCUAUAGUAAAUAUUGUACAGUGAUGAAUACAUUUGCAUUGUAAUGUUGUUGAAUAUUGUUAAUUUGUAUGAUUCAAAAUAUAUUUUGUAUUGCAGAA